AGAGUUUGAUCCUGGCUCAGGAUGAACGCUGGCGGCGUGCCUAACACAUGCAAGUCGAGCGAAGCACAUGAAUACGAUUCUUCGGAUGAGGAUUCUUGUGACUGAGCGGCGGACGGGUGAGUAACGCGUGGGUAACCUGCCUUACACAGGGGGAUAACAGUUAGAAAUGACUGCUAAUACCGCAUAAGACCACAAAACCGCAUGGUUUGGUGGUAAAAACUCCGGUGGUGUAAGAUGGGCCCGCGUCUGAUUAGGUAGUUGGUGGGGUAACGGCCUACCAAGCCGACGAUCAGUAGCCGACCUGAGAGGGUGACCGGCCACAUUGGGACUGAGACACGGCCCAGACUCCUACGGGAGGCAGCAGUGGGGAAUAUUGCACAAUGGGGGAAACCCUGAUGCAGCGACGCCGCGUGAGCGAUGAAGUAUUUCGGUAUGUAAAGCUCUAUCUGCAGGGAAGAAAAUGACGGUACCUGACUAAGAAGCCCCGGCUAACUACGUGCCAGCAGCCGCGGUAAUACGUAGGGGGCAAGCGUUAUCCGGAUUUACUGGGUGUAAAGGGAGC
RNAcentral lists this ribosomal RNA (562 nucleotides) under uncultured bacterium. Its description in RNAcentral is "bacterial SSU rRNA". It matches the Rfam family "Bacterial small subunit ribosomal RNA", at positions 8 to 570 of the family's 1533-position model. The record is from RNAcentral.